GGGUCACCGUUUGUUAAGCGCAAAUAUGGAUGACUGUUUUUGCUGACUUCAUUGUUUGGCUUAUAAGAGUUAUCAAAUAUCACUUUGAUUAAAUUAGAGUGCUUAAAGCAAGUGUUUUACUUGAAUAUAAAUGCAUGGAAUGAUGGAAUAUGUUGUUGUUCUAUUUGUUGGUUUUUGAACGAUGAAAUGAUUGAAAGGAACUGUUGGGGGCAUUCGUAUUGUUGUGAGAGAGGUGAAAUUCUUAGACCACAGCAAGACGAACUACUGCGAAAGCAUUUGCCAAGAAUGUUUUCAUUGAUCAAGAACGAAAGUCAGAGGUUCGAAGGCGAUCAGAUACCGCUCUAGUUCUAACCAUAAACUAUGCCAACUAGCAAUUUGGUUAUGUAUGUUUUAUGACUAGGUGAGAGGCCACGGGAAACCAAAGUAGGGUUAUGGGGGAAGUAUGGUUGCAAAGCUGAAACUUAAAGGAAUUGACGGAAGGGCACCACCAGGAGUGGAGCCUGCGGCUUAAUUUGACUCAACACGGGAAAACUUACCUGGUCCUGACACUAGAAGGAUUGACAGAUUGAUAGCUCUUUCUUGAUUUGGUGGAUGGUGGUGCAUGGGCCGUUCUUAGUUGGUGGAGUGAUUUUGUCUGGUUAAUUCCGAUAACGAACGAGACUCUAGCCUAUUAAAUAACACACAGAAUCAUGUCUUAUGCGGUGUUUCUUAAUGGGAUCAAGUG
RNAcentral lists this ribosomal RNA (724 nucleotides) under uncultured eukaryote. RNAcentral describes it as "bacterial SSU rRNA". It matches the Rfam family "Eukaryotic small subunit ribosomal RNA", at positions 673 to 1426 of the family's 1831-position model. The record is from RNAcentral.